RNAcentral lists this long non-coding RNA (2075 nucleotides) under Mytilus galloprovincialis (Mediterranean mussel). The record is from RNAcentral. Lineage: Eukaryota; Metazoa; Mollusca; Bivalvia; Mytilida; Mytilidae.
GCUCUUUGGGAUAUUUGCAGAAUUUCAACGGAAGCAUUUUCUUGGCAUUGGAGAAAGGAAGAAAGACCAUUUACAAUUUGUCUUACAGUUGUUUUUCUCUCUUUUAAUUAAUUUUUAAAAAAAUCUUUCAAAUAAAGAGUUCAUAAGAAUUCCCUUUGACACCUCCCCCCUUUUUUAUUUAUUUCGUGCUGUCUAUUUUCAACCCUCAAAUUAACAUUUCCGAUCUAUUCAUGUACCGGACAGGCAACUUUCUGUAUCAAGAAGAAAAAUCACAAUGCCAUUAUACACAUGCAUGUUGUUUGCUGGGAGUCCCCGCCCGCAUAGAAAGAAAUAGCCCAUCUCCAAGAUACUAUAUUCCUGCAUCACGUGAUUUUUACCACGCGGAGCUUACAUGAGAACGAAUACCUAAUAUGGAAAGUGAAACUACACUUCAUUACAUAAAGUCCGAAAGCACAUAUAGGAAAAUGAAGGGUUUUUUUUGUCAACGGAUGCUGGGGUAAUCCUCUCUGUGUUUGAAAUAUAUACGAAAUAUUUGCCACUGCCCCUUUUUCUGUUCUAUAAAUUCUCUCAGAGUUUUCUAUCUCUUACUCCCGUGAACAUGCACCGUGGAUCCGCCAAUGCAAAAGGCAAUUUGCAGGAGCUCAAAACUAUCGUUAAAGUACUGUUUAUUCUAAACCAGUUUACAUAAUCGCAAUUCGCCCUCAUAAUCAAAGAAAAGAUAUUUCUUAAUACUUAGGUAAGAAAUAAUUUCAAUCAAUAAUGACAAAGAAUGACUUGUCUGACCUCUCCGGAGGCAGAUUGAAGGGGGCACCCGCACCUUUUUGUGGAAACUUUCUGGUUGUUAAUAUAGGGAAAGGGCCUCUUAGGCAACAAGUGGCCCCUCACUUAUGAACAUUUCUGGAUCCGCCGCUGCUCUCUAAAUGUAUUUAUACGGUUGUAUGCUGCUUCCUCAUUUAAAAAUACAAAAUUGUUAACAGUUUUAUAUUUAUAAAUAAAUAUAUAAAUUAAAUUUUGAUUAAAACAUCGAGAUCUGCAUAUUGUAUAAAAAUAAAUUAUAGUAUGGAUUUAUAUUGAUUCGUAUACCAUGGUCGAUUUUCGUAUUACGAAUCUCACGCCGAGGUAAAUAGCGGUGCUUCACAUUUGCUGUUUAACUUAUUAAAAUAAUCAAAAAUAAAUUGAAAUAAUGUAUAAUGAGUGUUAUUUUUUAAACGAAUGAAUACAAAGAAUUAGAAUUAUGAAUUUUAAAUAUUACUUUUUUUGUUAUCAUAAUUAAGAAAUUACGUACUCAAAAGAGACAACAAAAGUUAUAAUGUCCUUGCAUACUUGAAAAAGAUUGUAUACAUUUUACUAUGUUUUUUUUAUGGAUCGAUAUGCGUCCUCCUACAUGUAUAAUACUUAGUACAUGUAUAAUAACUCAAGUUUUUUUUACGUAGUAUUACAGUAGGAGUGCCGAGGGCGCGUGAGUCGUUUACUGAAUAAUCAAAAAUAACUUAAAUGUCAUAUAAACGUGUAGUCUUUCUACUUUAACAGGGUGUAUAAUUUCUGUUAGUUUACUAGUAUAUAAAAUUAAAAAUGACAUAACAAUGUCGUUAUCAAUUUCCUUUUACACUGAACAUUGAGAAUGUGCAUAUUUUCGAAUUUUAUAAUUUUAAUUGUUUAAGGCUUGUUAAAGACGGAAAUAAUAAGUACACAGUUUAAAACGAGAACUGACAUGGUUAGAUCACUUCCUUUAUACGGAAGUCAGGUUUAUUAGAGAUAUACUUUUCAACGAGGAUGUUUAGUAUAAUACAAACAUUGUAGUAUAAUUUUUUUUUAGUGAAAACUGUGUCUUGGAUAAUCUUUUAAACAUCUAAAUAUGUCCAAACCAAAGAUACGGAUUCUAGAUAUUGCAGCUUUUGUGUUAACUAUUUUAGCAACUAUUGUUCAAUUUGCUGGAUUUUUUUUACCCAACUGGUGGAGUUAUAAGUCUGAUACUACUGAAUUCAAAUUAGAAUAUGGAAUGCUAUUUUCAACGGAGUGUAGUGCUGCUGGAGAUUGCAAAGAAAACACAGCCGUUGUUAUCGAGGGAGGAAAAG